CAGAAUCUGUUUGAGUGCGACAUUCAAGAAGAGAGAAAUGUCUCCAUCCAAGUUUGAACAUGAGCGAGUCUUGAUGCUGGGACGACUCUUCGGCCUCUUUCUCGGAAGCCAAAUCAGCCUCGAGUUAUCGUAAUUCUAAUUUUUGAAACGUGCAUUGCUUUUCUGUGUUUUCAUGCUUUUUAGCUUCCGAAAGUAAUUUUUGCAGGCGAAUACAGCACAGCGAUAGGCGGUUGGACCUUGAUUCAUGUGAUGUUGCGUCUUGACACUUCUGGCAUUGGACAGGUUUUAAACACUUCGUUCCCUUCAACUAUUAAGUGGCUCGAAAAGCUUGCAUCGAGAGCCCUAGCAUCAUCCAUGGACGCAACUGCUCUUGGCUUAUACCAAACCCAACUAGAUUCCCGAGUUAGUCUGAAAGUUCAUUAGCAAUGCAUUAUGAAUACUAUAAUUUAUAUCGCAUUUCAAUUACCACAUUUGUUUUUUUCCUUGAAAAUGGUUCCAAGAGGUCGCUCUUAGGCCCAACACCAUGCCUUAAAGGGGGAAGAUUUUGCCAUUGCACAGAGAAAUAAACCUGCAUCCAAUGCCAAACAUUGAAAAUCUCAUGAUGCUGCUCUCAUUUAUUUAGAUGUUUAUGUGCGAGAGCUGCUUAUAAUGCAGAGUUAAAAGGCGCCAAGUGGAAACGACCAAGGUCAAAUGGGUGCCUACUAGGACCGAGUCAGCAAGACUAUCUUCUCAUAUCCUUAGACCCAGUUGUCGGAUAACACCUCUUAUUUCUUUGGUUCUUGCAGGCUGUGGGCUGUCUUUGCAUACCCUUGCACCCAGUUUUUUUUAUAAUAGUGCUUGCUUUUUCUUUGGUUUUUACACGCUGUGACACAAUUGAUACCCAGAAGUGAUAAGAGGGAAAUAUGUGAAAGCGCAGGCUUUUCAUUUAUUUGUCUUGAGCAAGGACCUUUUUUGCAUUGUUUAAUUUUUUGUUGUGACGUGGUAUAAACAUGUCCCCCCUUCCCUCCUUUACGGCAGAUGUCUUUUUGUAUGUUUGUAUGCGUGCUUUUUUGCAAUUGUUUGUAUCGACAGAGGAGUGAUGGGAAUUGUUGUUCGAAUAAACCUUUUUGGAGUUU
Long non-coding RNA from Dermacentor silvarum, 1115 nucleotides. RefSeq lists it as uncharacterized. The record is from RefSeq and is a predicted model, not a curated record. NCBI's taxonomy places the organism in Eukaryota, Metazoa, Arthropoda, Arachnida, Ixodida, Ixodidae. The transcript is spliced from 2 exons.